AUUGAACGCUGGCGGAAUGCUUUACACAUGCAAGUCGAACGGCAGCACGGACUUCGGUCUGGUGGCGAGUGGCGAACGGGUGAGUAAUACAUCGGAACGUGCCCGGACGUGGGGGAUAACUACUCGAAAGAGUGGCUAAUACCGCAUACGAUCCAAGGAUGAAAGCGGGGGAUCGCAAGACCUCGCGCGUUUGGAGCGGCCGAUGGCAGAUUAGGUAGUUGGUGAGGUAAAGGCUUACCAAGCCUGCGAUCUGUAGCUGGUCUGAGAGGAUGAUCAGCCACACUGGGACUGAGACACGGCCCAGACUCCUACGGGAGGCAGCAGUGGGGAAUUUUGGACAAUGGGCGAAAGCCUGAUCCAGCCAUUCCGCGUGCAGGAUGAAGGCCCUCGGGUUGUAAACCUCUUUCAGCAGGGAAGAAGCGAAAGUGACGGUACCUGCAGAAGAAGUACCGGCUAACUACGUG
This 464-nucleotide ribosomal RNA is filed under the name uncultured bacterium. Its description in RNAcentral is "bacterial SSU rRNA". It matches the Rfam family "Bacterial small subunit ribosomal RNA", at positions 30 to 507 of the family's 1533-position model. The record is from RNAcentral.